This 300-nucleotide ribosomal RNA is filed under the name uncultured Pyrobaculum sp. RNAcentral's name for it is "bacterial SSU rRNA". It matches the Rfam family "Bacterial small subunit ribosomal RNA", at positions 496 to 795 of the family's 1533-position model. The record is from RNAcentral. Lineage: Archaea; Thermoproteati; Thermoproteota; Thermoprotei; Thermoproteales; Thermoproteaceae.
GCUGAGUCGGGGCCGGCGGGGCGGGGAGACCGGGGGGGGCAAGGGUGUUGCGGAAGUACUGGGCGUAAAGGGUGCGUAGGCGGCCAACUAAGUCAGACGUGAAAGCCCUCGGCUUAACCGGGGAACUGCGUCUGAUACUGGAUGGCUUGAGUUCGGGAGAGGGAUGUGGAAUUCCAGGUGUAGCGGUGAAAUGCGUAGAUAUCUGGAGGAACACCGGUGGCGAAGGCGGCAUCCUGGACCGACACUGACGCUGAUGAGCGAAAGCCAGGGGAGCAAACGGGAUUAGAUACCCUCGUAGUC